This 428-nucleotide ribosomal RNA is filed under the name uncultured bacterium. RNAcentral's name for it is "partial 16S ribosomal RNA". It matches the Rfam family "Bacterial small subunit ribosomal RNA", at positions 354 to 796 of the family's 1533-position model. The record is from RNAcentral.
GUCGAGAAUCUUCCGCAAUGCGCGAAAGCGUGACGGAGCGACACCGCGUGAUGGAUGAAGUCCUUCGGGGCGUAAACAUCUUUUAUAAAGGAGGAAAUUUUUGACGUUACUUUAUGAAUAAGGGGCUCCCAAUCUCGUGCCAGCAGGAGCGGUAAUACGAGAGCCUCAAGCGUUAUCCGGAAUCAUUGGGCGUAAAGGGUGGGUAGGUGGUUUGAUUAGUCUCCCGUGAAAACUUCGAGCUUAACUCGAAAAGAGCGGGGGAAACGGUCAAACUAGAGUAUGUGAGAGGUGUGUGGAACUCAUGGUGUAGGGGUGAAAUCCGUUGAUAUCAUGGGGAACACCAAAAGCGAAGGCAGCACACUGGCACAUCACUGACACUGAGGCACGAAACCAAAGGUAGCGAAUGGGAUUAGAAACCCGAGUAGUCC